Chenopodium quinoa (quinoa) is the source of this 594-nucleotide long non-coding RNA. RefSeq lists it as uncharacterized. The transcript is spliced from 2 exons. Lineage: Eukaryota; Viridiplantae; Streptophyta; Magnoliopsida; Caryophyllales; Amaranthaceae. The record is from RefSeq and is a predicted model, not a curated record.
UGACGGGUCUCUCAACAUUCCCUCUUAAACCACCAAAACCCUACGUGGAGUAAUCUCUGAUCUAACUCGAUCUCCGCCUCCCCUUUGCCACUUCACUUUCUCUCUCUUCUCAUUUGCUCCCUCCUCCAUUUUUCCUUUUCAUUGUUCUCAAUUUUCUUCAUCUCCGAUAUACUACUUCUCACAAUCUUUAAAAUGGAAAGUACAUAGUACUUAUCAUCAUAUUUACUCUUCUCACAGUCUAAAAAAUCAAAAGAGUGGUUUUGAUUCCUGAAGUUUCUUCUUAGUUCUCCAUUGAAGCAGUUGUAAGCUUAUUCUCUUCUCCUCUGAAGCGAAUUUUGGGUUUCAAUCAUCUCCAUUUUAGCAUUCAAAGGUUAUCUUUGAGCUAAAAUUAAUGGAGUUGGUGAUAUGAAGUUGGCGAUAUAUAUGAACUUGGCGAUGAUGAAAAUAGAUUAGGAUUACAUCAUAUUGUACUCAUUGUAACGUAGUACUUAAUUAAUACUAGUACUACAAAUUAUAUAAUACUCGUACUUAAAUGUUACUUGUAUAUAUAUUGUAUUUUAUUUAUUUAAUGAAAUUGAAACUGUAUGCUACAUA